AAAAUAAGGAGCAGCCCAAUUCGUCCUCCUCAAGCACGCUGUCUCCAUUUUUCCUCUCAAUUCUCAAAUCUGAAAACUCACAUUUCUCUCUCUCGAUCCGCUCCAAUUAGCGCCACCGCCGUGGCUGAAUCCGGCGAGCUGCGCCUUCUUCUCCUCGUCUAUUCAUCUCUCUCCCUUCACCCUUUUCAAUUUCUCACUCCAAGUUACACGCUCAAUUUCAAGGAUUGAGCCCUAGUUCUUUCCUUCAAAUCGCCUCCGAGUCUCUCCUUUACAGCAGAUACGCCGCCGCGGUUCUCUUUCCGGUGAAGCCGGCAUCAAGUCAUUGGAGUACAGGCGAGGCCGCGGCCGGCCACUGGCGCUGCUCCCUUCGUCUGCUCACCUCUCCUCCCUCAUCCUUCUCGAUUGAGGCAAAAGGGAAGAGCAGUCCGCCGCUGCCUUCUUAUAAAUCCGGCGAGCGGCUGCGUCCUUCUCUCCGGCGCAGGUCGACGCCUUCGCGUCGGAGCUCCUCUCCUCCCGCCGCUCUGUUUCUCGCCAGGUGCCCCAACCGAGCUCUAUUUUUGUCAUAAACUACCGCUCCUGCUGUCUGUGAGUCGGCGAGGCCGCCGCAUCGUAGCCCCUCUCUGGUUUGGUCCGGCGAGCAGCAAGCACGCAGGUCCGCCUCCGUUACAUGCCUUCGAGAGUUAGCGUCGAUUCUUUAUGAAGCAUCGAGAGUUAGCGUCGGCUCUCGAUUCUUUAUGAAGCAUCGUCGUGCACGUCCUCCAGAUAUGUCGCGAUCGUCUACGGCUCCGUUACCUCGACAAAACAGGGCAGUCAUCGCUUCUCAGCCCCACACCUAAACACGAGCCUAGCUCUCCCGGCUUGGUUCCAGACUUGGGUUCUAGAACUUAGUUAAGCAAGGUAAGGUCUUUAUUCUAGUUUUCGUUCCCCAGUUGAAUAGUCUAUUGUGGAGGCAAGAAAUUAAUCUAGGUGUUGAUUGCUUCUGUAUCAUAUGAAUUCUCAUUGCUUGUGGCUCGCGUAAAAAGAAUAUAGCAUGUAGAUUCUUAUGAAAUAAAAGAUUAUGCCAUUAAUCUCAUACUAUGCAUUUCUAAUAACUGAACAUGUGUCUUGUUGGGGUGUGAAGCAUAUGACAUCAAGAGAGCAAUGAGAUAGGAAUUACCCGUAAUUGCUUUGUGUUUGGGUGGUUGUUGAAGCUUUUGAGUUUAAUGAGAAAAUGGCUGAAAAAGAGUCACAUAUCUUGUUUUUCUUUAACAAUGCAGGGAGAACUAAGAAGAAAAAAAAAAGAUAAGGCUAAAGCCAAUCUUACCUCUUCGAAGUUUUGCAGCAGCUAGACAACUCUCUCAAGCUCUUGAUGCUUAAAGAAAUAAGGACGACUGUUGGCUGAAUAUAAAGAGUAGAGUUGUUGUAGUUAUUGAGUUUGAAAUGAAAGGUGAGUGGCUGAUUGACCUGCUACUAUACCAGGGGAUGGCCUUGGCUAAAAAGGGUGGCUGCAGAGUAGGGGAAUAGCUUGUAGUUGUAAUUGCACUAAUCUCCUUGCUUUUGUGUAUAGUUAGUAGUGAAAGAAUGAUGAUUGUAAAUAUCGUUCUGAUGUGAUGAUACAUAAUUAAAAUCCUCCACUAUUGAUUAAUCGCGUAUUGGCAUGUAAAACUAGCUUUCGU
RNAcentral lists this long non-coding RNA (1655 nucleotides) under Salvia miltiorrhiza (redroot sage). RNAcentral's name for it is "long non-coding RNA (SMIL_LNC008927)". Lineage: Eukaryota; Viridiplantae; Streptophyta; Magnoliopsida; Lamiales; Lamiaceae. The record is from RNAcentral.